This is a long non-coding RNA of Gadus macrocephalus (Pacific cod), 438 nucleotides long. RefSeq lists it as uncharacterized. The transcript is spliced from 2 exons. The record is from RefSeq and is a predicted model, not a curated record. Lineage: Eukaryota; Metazoa; Chordata; Actinopteri; Gadiformes; Gadidae.
ACCCCCCCACGCUGACCCCCCCACGCUGACCCCCCCCACGCUGACCCCCCCACACUGAGCCCCCCCAUGAGCACAUCACAAACGGGCCAUGACAUCACAUACUAACAAUGAGGUCACGGCCCAGCGAUGAGGUCACGGCCCAGCGAUGAGGUCACGGCCCAGCGAUGAGGUCACGGCCCAGCGAUGAGGUCACGGCCCAGCGAUGAGGUCACGGCCCAGCGAUGAGGUCACGGCCCAGCGAUGAGGUCACGGCCCAGCGAUGAGGUCACGGCCCAGCGAUGAGGUCACGGCCCAGCGAUGAGGUCACGGCCCUCAUCAGUUUGUCUGCCUACCUGUUCCCUAUUCCUGGUCCGUCCAUCUGCCCUCCCGUUGCCGACCUCUGCCCGCCGACUACCCUCUGCCUGUCGACCCAGUCCCCCAAUAAAGCCUUGUACUUAU